This 361-nucleotide long non-coding RNA is filed under the name Homo sapiens (human). Its description in RNAcentral is "non-protein coding lnc-TMEM230-1:1". The record is from RNAcentral. Lineage: Eukaryota; Metazoa; Chordata; Mammalia; Primates; Hominidae.
AGUCUCGAAUCCACCUCACGGGAACAAAAGAAAGCUGACCACAAACAUCUACCAGCAUCCCGUGGGUACAUGAUGGGAGGCAUCAGUGGGAGGAGUCCCGAAGGAGGACUCAGCUCAAGGCUUCCAGAAGGAAGAGGAACACAGGUGUCAUCACCUGACUGAGGUUCUGACCAAUGGAACACAGGUGGAAGUUGUUGGAGAAAACGCCUUAAAACGGGAACAGCUGCAAUAUCAGCUGCAAGACAUUCUUUUACCUUUCCACCUGCCUGGGACCUGGAUGUGGAACUGCAGUGUGCCUUGCAAACUUGAAGAGAACGACCUUGAUAAUGGAUGGUGAAGCAAGAAAGAGGAGCCUGAGGCU